Molecule: long non-coding RNA, 5843 nt
Organism: Chinchilla lanigera (long-tailed chinchilla)
Lineage: Eukaryota; Metazoa; Chordata; Mammalia; Rodentia; Chinchillidae
Product: spindle pole body component 110-like
Source: Ensembl
GCCAAAUCCAGUUGCUGGUGUCUCUUCCCAGCACACAAUCCCUUUCACAGAAUUCAUAGAACAUGGAACUCAGCAAAACAGAUUUUGCUGUGUACCAAGGCUCUAAACUGCAAGUGGUCUCAGUUGGCUCUUUUAAAUAAUUAUUUUUAUUUUUGGUAGACAGAUUAAGAUGCAGGGUAAAACCUUUUCAAUUGCGUGGAUAUUUCUUGAGCACUCAAGCAGAUUUAAACACAUUCUAUCCUCUGUCACCGCUGAACUGGAAACACUGGUUCUUUAUUUGCCUUUAUGCAUUUCUACUUUAACUCCUGGGUUCCUGGGUACAUUGCUCUUAAGUUUUCAGCCUCUGAAAGAACAAACUCAAAACUGCUUGAGCAAGUUUACUGGCUGGAAGAAAACCUAGAAGCUGGGAAUCUUAAGGAAGCCAGUAGGGAACCAUAUGAAAAAACGGUCCUUAUGAAAGACCAGUACAUUGAGAAGCUGCAAGCUGAAGUAGAGGCUUCCCAGAAACAACUGAAAGUUCAUAAAUUAAAGCACCAAAAAAAAGUGAAAAAGCUACAAAUUGAUUUGGCAACAACAAAGCAAGAGGCUGCCAUCGCAGUGCUGGAGCUCAAUGAGAAGAUAAAGACACUCUGUGAGAGAGAGCCAGCCCCUAGAGCUGGUUUUCUGGAAGAGUGCUGUGAAAGUCUCCUACCUGUGGACGAAGGUGAUAAGAAAAUCAGCUUGAUUAUGGAACUGUCAACACAGCUUUCCCUGCAGACUGAGAAGAUCAUUCAGCUAGAAGAAGCUUUGGAAGAAAAGGAAAGAAAGAUUCAGCAGCUGGAAGCUAAGGGAAGAGGUCAAGGAUACUCCAACCUGCUUAGAAGAAGCCCUAAUUUUCUCUAUUAGCAUUAUUUCUCUGGUGAGGAUAUUUGUGAAGAUUUUCAGUAAGAAAACAAUAAAAGUAUAUUGAGUCAUUAAAGUAGUGUCCAGAACAGAAGUAGUCUUUCAAGGAGCUCCAGAGGCGCAAUUGGGUAGUGCGUGCUACUUAUACACAAGGAGUCUUUCAAGUUCAAGUUCAUGGGUUCAAACGUUUCCUAUAAUGUUCAUACCAGAAGGGAACAAAAGAAAGGAAAGCCUUCAGUAGCCAACACUGAACGUUUCCCCCUGAGAAGUAGUCAUGCAACCACACAGCUGCAGAAUAGUGUUUCUAAACAUUCCUGCCUGAUAGCAAAGGGAGGAGGAACAUAAAGCUGAUAGUGACAGAAGUUAGCAUUAUCAUCUUAGCAAAGGUCUGUCACACCGAGGGGAAGGACGGCACCAGUCCUGUGUUGGUGUGCGAUGCAUUGUGAACAGAGAGCUAUUGUGGAGGGCCAGCUUCAGCCUCAGAAAUGUACAAACAGUACUGAAGAGCUGAAUCUUUGCCAACCGAGUAAAGGGCCAUAAGAUCUCUCCUUUGAUGUCCCCUGGAGUUUAUUUCUUUAUGGCACACAUUUUACAACAUUAGUAAGAGUAGAAAUGAAGUAAAACUAAAGCAACUUAAAAAAAAAUGUAUGAAUCAGAGCAACAGUCCUUUGGGAAAACUGUCCUGGGAUAGCAUCUCCCUGGGAAAAUACAUAGUACUGAUUUUUCCCUUAGGACUAAGAUUAAGACCAAAGCAAAAUACACUCUUCUGUUAUGAUUGUACCCUGUAGCUAUGAGCAGCAAAAUACAAUGGCAUGAAAAAUGAAGAAUAAGAAAAGGAAAUCUUGUAAUUAAUGGACUAGAAUGAAUCGUAUCACAUUUUUCUCCCACCUAUCUCUCAAAUGAACUGUUUCCUUGGCAAAGAGAACAACUAGGUACUAACUGUAAGGAAGACUUUGGUACUUGGUAAAAUGGUAUUAAUUUUACUCAGCUAGACUGCUCCAGAUCUCUCAUGAUUGUACUGCUAUCUCUGAAUUUAAUUCAACAUUAAACAAAUAUUCAUCAAAAGUAUUCUAUCAUCCAGGCACAGUAAUAAAUUAAAGAAGUUUUAGAAACUUAGCAAACAUGAGAAUGACAAUGGUGAUUACCCAGUUCAUAGACACAAGAGAGUCUCCUUAAAGGUAAGGCUGAUUAUAAUGAGAAGGGAAAUGGAAGAGGAAAAGCAAGUGAGCAUGGGCUAAACCUGAUCAGCACUGCUUUUGUGGAGAUCCUCAAAUCUACUGAGCAAGAGUGAUCAGUAUUGCUGAAUGUUUGAUGUUAUACCUUUCAAUAUCUUUCUCACUCAAAUUUUGCUAAAGGUUUUGUCUAUUUAUAGCUUUCACAGCUCUGUAUUUUUAAAACUACCAAUAAAUACUGAAUUUUUUAAAAAAGAGUGAUAGGUAAGAAUGUAUAUUCUUGGCCUCUGUUUUAGAGCCCAGAAAAUGCAGUUUAACAAAUACAUGUGAUAUAAAUGCCAGGAGCUACAUUUUAAGACAUAGUUUGAAGGACUUCAAGCAGAGGUCUCACACUGUUGCUCCCAGACUGCUGGGCAAUCCUUGAAGGAUUGCUCCUUACAAGUGGGGGUAAGUCACCUACCCUAUUUAUGCAUCCUCUGACUAUGGGUCCUGACCACCUACCAGAAAGGGUUUCCAAACAUGAAUUUAAAAAACAUAGAAAGGAGCUUUUGAUUCAUAUAUGAAGCUUUGUGACUCCUGAGGUUUACUAGGAAACAAACAAAAUAAAACCAAAUGGGAUCUUCUACUACUUUCUAUUUUUAAAAGAGUUAGAAUUUCUUAUAUUUGUACGUAACCUCAGUUUCAUAUGCAGUGGCUGCACAUAUGUACAGGUGUCCUUCAAUAUCAAAAGUGAGACUAAUUUACAACUCACUGAGUACGAACACAUACCUACUCCAGAAAAGAGCUCAAAGCACUUUUUUACCUUUUCCUUGACUCUGCUUCAGCCUACAAAGAAUCCAUUUGCAAAACCUUUCUCUCUAGUCCCUCCAUCUGCUUCCCUAAGACUCAUUAUCUCCUGGGUCAAACUUCAUGAUCUUCACUAGCCCCAACCAGAUGUCUCAGUUCCAGUCUGAGGUUCUGUGCAUUGCUCUUGACACUACAGUUGGGGGUUGACAUUUCUUCACUGUGUACUUUUGGGAGAAUAAAUUUUUCCCUUUUGUUAAGAGUGAACCUUUUCCAAGACAAACUACAACCUCCACAAUUUCAGUAUACUAUUAUGUUAACCAAACUUGCAAAUCUUUAUUUUACCAAAGAUUAUCUUAAUAUCAUGCAAUAUUGGGGGUGACAUAGAGGGGAGACAGGGAGAGUGGGAAAAAAAUUUCAUCACAUCCUGCGGACAGAUGUUACCUGCUAGAUCAAUUUCCCUGGAAUAUCCUGGUUAGCCCUUACUGUUUAAAACAGUCUUAUAAUGGAGAUAAAGUAAUAGGCAAUUAAUAAUUAAUUCAGUUUAUCACCUCUAAACAUCCAUGGACCAGCCACUGAAGAAAAAAACAUCAAGGAUCAUAUUACUCUGUAAAACCAUUGCUUCUCGGCCUUUUGGCUAAAAUCAAGUGUACUCUGUAAAACUAUAUUUGCAAGAAUUAUCUCGAUUCAGGUCCACAUUUGAAGAAGACUUGGUCCAAAGGACAACAGACUAAUCUUUAAUAGUGGUUCUUUAGUGACAAGAACUCUUGAAGCAUCCAGGGCUUAUGAGGGAGGAAGGAGGGAGAUAUGGUCUUUGAGCAACUGCUAAAUGGAAAGGUUCCCAGCUGAACAUUUAUGCUAUUUAAUGGCCCUAAAAGUUCAUUUCCAUUUUUUACCACCCCUCUAGGGAACUAAGUAGUAAGCUUUGCUUUGUGCUAGACACCUUGUUUAGACAAACUAAAAACUGGACUACAGCCUACACUGUAAGCCUAAAGUUCAUUUACUUAGGAGCAAGUUGGGUUACUGAAGCAAUCCACUAACCUUUAAAGUAUUUAGUGUAACUAUCACAGGGAAAUUAAUAAACACAUGACUCAAUUUCUCAAUGAAAAUUUAGCAGGUAUAACCAGCUAAUAUAUGUUAUUUUAAAAAUAACCAGAAAUCCAGGGAAUAAAAUACAAGUAAUUCAAACCAUUUCUUAAUAUUCUAAAGACAUUUAUAGAAAUAUACAGUUUUAAUUCUACACUUACAUCACUAAUUUUUUUCUGGAAGUUAAAUUUAACAUGUGAUAUGUCCAAUUACUUUAAGUGAACGUCAGAUUUAAUAAUUGUUUCAUUAGUGCAUGUGUGUGCUCCCACGUAUUUUCACUGGAAGCCAAAAUUAUGGCAAACUUUAAAGAUUAGCAGAAAAUCAAGUCACUGGUGGAGGUAGCUCAGAAAUGUGAAUGAGGUGUUCUAAGACAGUUCAGCAAAAGCAAAGAAACUACAGAAUAACAGUUUUGUUUAAAUGAAUUUCUGGAAAAGAAAGAAUCUAAUCAAAUUUAAUGAUCUCUUUCAGUCCUCUGUGCUUAUCCCAAGAUCCAACCGCGUUCUUCAGUUUUGCUUUAAUGAAAUAAAGAAAAGUCCAUGAAUGUUGCAAGCCUACAUAAAAAUAGUAUUUACUUGACAAUUACCAAAUAUAGAGACUAAAGACAAAACUAUUCUAAAAAAUACUAGAAGACAUUUCUUAAAAGACUUGGAGAAAAAAAUUAAGCAUUAACUGUUCCUUUCACUAAACCAAUAGAAAUUAGUAGUACAAUUAUCUUAGCUAUCUUGUAUGUGUGUGUGUGUGUAUAUAUAUAUAUAUAAAAUUUUCCCUUCCUUCUUUUCUCCCUUCCCUAGCAGUUACUUUUCCUUUCACAAUAUCUAUUAUACCUUUCAGAUUUUAUUUACUCUUUCAGUUUCUUACACUAGGGAGACAAUACAAUGUUUACACAUGUGGGUCUGAUUUAUUUCACUUAUGAGUAUGAUUUCUUGUUGUAUCCAUUUACCUAUACAAGCCUUGAGUUUACCUUUCUUUAUAGCUGAGUAAUACUUCAUUGCAUUCUUACAUCUGGUAAUCUGAACAACUACUUUGAAGAUACCAAUAUAAAAUAUAACAAUUAUUGUUAAUUUUCUAUCAUCUUGUUUGAAGUUGUGUAUCAUUUUUAAUGUUUUUUUCUUAUUUUUUAUUCUUUUUAAAAUUAAAAAAGGGCUGGGGAUAUAGUCAGUGGCACAAUGCUUGCCUUGCAAGUAUGAGGUCAUGAGUUCGAUUCUCAGUACCAUCAAAAAAAGGAAAAUUAAAAAAAGACUUGUAAAACCAAAUGUUUGUGAUUUUAAAAGUAUGACUGUAGUAAUUUUAAAAAUUAGGGCUAAUGAUGUAUGUUAUGGUUUGCGUCUGGAUGUUCCCCCAAAGCCUCAUGCAGUCAUGUGGCAGGCUUUUAGAGUUAAUGAUUCAUCCACGAUCCAAUGGUGGGAUUAUGGGUGUGAGUGGUAUAUCUGCCCUAGGGCAGAUAGCUUGCUAUGUAAGGGAAAGAAAGAGGCUAUUUGCUGCCACUCUUCCCUUUUGCUCUUGCUGCUUUUGCUGUCUUCAGCUGCCAUUCCCCCUUUUGCUUUUGUUGUUUUUGUUGUGUUCCACUGCCAUGAAUGCUUGCCCUCUGCCAUGUGCAACUCUGCCUUGGAACCAGCCCAGUAUGGACUGAAACCUGCACAAACUGUGAGCUAAAUAAACCUUUCCUUCCUUCAUUUUGAACAUCAGUUAUUUUGUCCCAGCAACGAGAGAAAAGUAACGGAGACGUCGCUUCACUAAGCUACUGUAUGUACCUAGCAUGUGUGAGACAUUAGGAUCAAUCCCCAGAGUGACCUUGAACACACACACACACACAAAGAUGGAAAAAAAAAACUACACAAAACUAAGAUGAAUUAUAAAGAAUAAAUAAUAAUUAUUAUAAUUUCCCUUAAAAGUUAAAAUAAAAAUUUUAUUGAGAUUUCC